RNAcentral lists this ribosomal RNA (488 nucleotides) under uncultured bacterium. RNAcentral describes it as "bacterial SSU rRNA". It matches the Rfam family "Bacterial small subunit ribosomal RNA", at positions 15 to 518 of the family's 1533-position model. The record is from RNAcentral.
GAUCCUGGCUCGAGGACGAACGCUGGCGGCGUGCUUAACACAUGCAAGUCGAACGGGUGAGUACCUUCGGGUGCUCAUUAGUGGCGGACGGGUGAGUAACGCGUGAGCAACCUGCCUUACAGUGGGGGAACAACACAGGGAAACUUGUGCUAAUACCGCAUAAAGUAUCCGGAGGGCAUCUUCUGGAUACCAAAGCAGCAAUGCGCUGUAAGAUGGGCUCGCGUCCGAUUAGAUAGUUGGCGGGGUAACGGCCCACCAAGUCGACGAUCGGUAGCCGGACUGAGAGGUUGGCCGGCCACAUUGGGACUGAGACACGGCCCAGACUCCUACGGGAGGCAGCAGUGGGGAAUAUUAGGCAAUGGGGGAAACCCUGACCUAGCAACGCCGCGUGAAGGAUGAAGGUUUUCGGAUUGUAAACUUCUUUGGCAGGGGACGAUAAUGACGGUACCCUGAGAACAAGCCACGGCUAACUACGUGCCAGCAGCGGC